CAUGAUUGAAUUCAUUUUCAUAAAACAAACAGUAACACAAAUUAGAUUUAAUGCUUAUUAAGAACAACUGAACAUUUUCAGUUAAUAAAAAUGCUUGUAACGCACAUUUUCUCAAGCAAAUUUCAACAAGUUCUUCUUGCUUAAGAUACUAAAAACCGUCUUUUUUAAAAGGCCAGAACUGUUUUGUCACAUGGGGGUCUUAAUAUUUUAAGUUAUAAUUUGCUUUUUUAAAAAACAGCAAAUAAGAUUUAAAUCGCAGAAUGCUAUUAAAGUUCGUUCAUGUUGCGAAGGUUCCCCGGUUAACCUUACCAAGCUCACAAAAGCUCUGGUUCUUCACGAUCUUCUCCGCAUUUUCAACUUUAUAUGAUCAAGGUUAAUUCAAUCAAUAUUAUUGGACAGAUCAAUUUAAUUACAGUGACAUCAUAAAUAGAAGCUAACAAACUUACAAUAGGAAUUGUUAACGAUUCUUCACUAAAAGUAAAGUACUCUCUACACUUCAAAUGAAGCAAAUUAUAUAGGUUUUUUUCGUGCUUCUUUUCAUGUUCCUUUGUUCGAUUUUUUAUUUUUUUAUUGACUGCUCUGAAAGGCAUUUUAAGGAAAAAUAUUUUAUUUUUUUGGAAGCAAUGCCUUUAAGUUCACUAGAUCGUUCUGGAGCGAUGUAGCUUGGUAUUGAAUUUGUAAACAUUAGUAUAUUCCAAAAUGUUACCCUAAAAGUUUAGAAAGAAAAUGUACGCAAUGAUGUUAAGGCUGGUGCUAACUUUUGAUAGAGACGUUAGGACUUAAUAAUUACAACUUUCGUUAUUCCGCCGAAUUUAAUUUUAUGAAUUGCUACGGUACCAGAAUAUUAUCGUUCUAUUUGAGUUAACAGGAAAUCUAAUACGCGAAUGAAACUAGUAAAGUCUAGGUGAAUGUCAAUUUGACGAAGCAUUGCACGGUUUUGCAACGAUAUUUUAUUUGAUAUAAAGCCAUAUUUUUUAACACUCUAAUUUCAAGUAAACAUCUAAUCAUACUUACCCUCCUCGAAUGCUAACGCUUUUUUUUCUUAGAAAUUUGAUCACUUUAUAUCCCGAAGCCUUUACGUUUGAUUUUCUUUUUAAUAUACUGUAUGAGUUAUUUUAAAUCUAUUUGUUGUACUGCGCCAUAUAAUCUAAUCAUAUUCAUUUCCAAAAAUUUAAGUAUUCAUUCAUUA
Molecule: non-coding RNA, 1189 nt
Organism: Schizosaccharomyces pombe (fission yeast)
Lineage: Eukaryota; Fungi; Ascomycota; Schizosaccharomycetes; Schizosaccharomycetales; Schizosaccharomycetaceae
Source: the annotation of a GenBank genome assembly